This 253-nucleotide ribosomal RNA is filed under the name uncultured bacterium. RNAcentral describes it as "partial 16S ribosomal RNA". It matches the Rfam family "Bacterial small subunit ribosomal RNA", at positions 524 to 776 of the family's 1533-position model. The record is from RNAcentral.
UACGUAGGGUGCGAGCGUUGUCCGGAAUUAUUGGGCGUAAAGAGCUCGUAGGCGGCUUGUCGCGUCGGAUGUGAAAGCCCGGGGCUUAACCCUGGGUCUGCAUUCGAUACGGGCAGGCUAGAGUUCGGUAGGGGAGAUCGGAAUUCCUGGUGUAGCGGUGAAAUGCGCAGAUAUCAGGAGGAACACCGGUGGCGAAGGCGGAUCUCUGGGCCGAUACUGACGCUGAGGAGCGAAAGCAUGGGGAGCGAACAGG